Molecule: ribosomal RNA, 488 nt
Filed under: Colubraria clathrata
Lineage: Eukaryota; Metazoa; Mollusca; Gastropoda; Neogastropoda; Buccinidae
Description: partial 16S ribosomal RNA
Rfam family: Bacterial large subunit ribosomal RNA
Source: RNAcentral
AUAAGGAGUCGAACCUGCCCAGUGAAAUAGUUUCAACGGCCGCGGUACUCUGACCGUGCGAAGGUAGCAUAAUCAUUUGCCCUAUAAUUGAGGGCUAGUAUGAAUGGUUUGACAAGAAUAAAGCUGUCUCUUUAUAAUUUUAUAGAAUUUUAUUUUUAGGUGAAGAAGCCUAAAUAUAAUUAAAAGACAAGAAGACCCUAUCGAGCUUUAAAAGACCAUUAGAUUUUCAAGAAUUUAUAAAAAACAAUAACUAUUGAAUAUUUUAGUUGGGGCGACUAAGGAACAACUAAAGCUUCCUUUUUGACAAUUAAAUUUAUUGAUUUUGAUCCAAAAAUUUUGAUUAAAAGAAUUAGUUACCGUAGGGAUAACAGCAUUAUCUUUUUUAAGAGCUCAUAUCGAAAAAAAGGUUUGUGACCUCGAUGUUGGACCAGAAUGUCCUAAAGAUGCAGCAGUCUUUAAGGGUUGGUCUGUUCGACCAUUAAAAUUCU